AGAGUUUGAUCAUGGCUCAGAUUGAACGCUGGCGGCAUGCUUUACACAUGCAAGUCGAGCGGCAGCGCGGGGGCAACCCUGGCGGCGAGCGGCGGACGGGUGAGUAAUGCAUCGGAACGUAUCCCGUAGUGGGGGACAACCCAGCGAAGGCUGGGCUAAUACCGCAUAUGCUCUACGGAGGAAAGUGGGGGACCCGCAAGGGCCUCACGCUAUGGGAGCGGCCGAUGUCCGAUUAGCUAGUUGGUGGGGUAAAGGCCUACCAAGGCGACGAUCGGUAGCUGGUCUGAGAGGAUGAUCAGCCACACUGGGACUGAGACACGGCCCAGACUCCUACGGGAGGCAGCAGUGGGGAAUUUUGGACAAUGGGGGCAACCCUGAUCCAGCCAUGCCGCGUGCGGGAAGAAGGCCUUCGGGUUGUAAACCGCUUUUGUUCGGGAAGAAAAGGCACGUCCUAAUACGGCGUGUUCUUGACGGUACCGGAAGAAUAAGCACCGGCUAACUACGUG
Molecule: ribosomal RNA, 506 nt
Filed under: uncultured bacterium
Lineage: Bacteria
Description: bacterial SSU rRNA
Rfam family: Bacterial small subunit ribosomal RNA
Source: RNAcentral